CUUGAUGCCGCGGAUGACCUGGUUCGGCGUCGGCAUGAACAUUUGCGCCAGCCAUUGCAGUGGCUGAACAAUCUCCGCCUGUUGCUUCCGCCAGUAGUCGAUUGCCGAGCUGUAGAACUCGUUGCGGAUCAUCUUGGAUGCGGCCCUCCAGUCGCACUUCUCCAUCUCAGCCCUGGCGGCCCUCCCCAUGUCGCCCCUAAACUCGUCGUCCGUCAACAGCAGCCUAAUCUUGCCAACACAGUCGUCGAGGUCCCCCGGAGCGAAGAGGAAGCUCGUCCUUCCCUCUACGUCCUCUGGGAUAAUGUCAGGGAUACCGCCGGCACGAACGGCCACCACAGGGACACCCGACGACAUGGACUCGAGGACUACUUGGCCAAGUGUUUCUGACUCAGAGGGCAUCACGAAGACGUCGCCGCUUGCAUACGCCUGCGAGAGCUCCUCCCCUUGCAUCAUCCCGGUAAACACCGCCGGCAUCCCCUCGAACAUCUUCUCUAGCUCUGUCCUAUAUGGCCCAUCUCCGAUGAAUGCAAUUCUUACUCCGGGCAACCGAUCCAUCACCCUGCUCAACCAUGAACCAAGAUCAGGGAGAAGUUGC
RNAcentral lists this long non-coding RNA (595 nucleotides) under Hordeum vulgare. Its description in RNAcentral is "long non-coding RNA (HVUL_LNC006322)". Lineage: Eukaryota; Viridiplantae; Streptophyta; Magnoliopsida; Poales; Poaceae. The record is from RNAcentral.